Molecule: long non-coding RNA, 2917 nt
Filed under: Malus domestica (apple)
Lineage: Eukaryota; Viridiplantae; Streptophyta; Magnoliopsida; Rosales; Rosaceae
Description: long non-coding RNA (MDOM_LNC008789)
Source: RNAcentral
UAGCAGAGACCCCGCAGCGGAAUAACAUUGAUGAGAACAUCACCGCCACCACAAUGAUCUCCUUCAUUCCCUGCAUUUUGCGAUCUUGAAAAACGAGCAUGCAUGCAUGCAUUUUCUAAUUAGUUAAUCGACCAAAGAUUUGAUACAUCACAAUUUUCCACAAUUCAAGAAAAGGACGGCGAGAAAAUUUCUGCCAUUUUCUCGGGAAAAUGCACAAACACUAGGUAAACACACGAUCAUGAAAGGAAAGAAACACGAAAUUAGCAAGAACAAACAGCGAUCCAAGGUCAAUGCAAGUCAAAAGGAAGUACGUAGCAGAUUAAUUAUCUACAAACAUGUGUGUGUAUAUAUAUUUAUAUAUGAUUAAAAUUAAUACUUACUUGUAGUUCUUGAUUUCUUGAGUUCGUAAGAAGAAGAUCGAAACGAAGACGAUAGAUCAAGGAGGAAGACGAGAAAUCUGUGUAAUGAAUGAGAGGAGAAAGUAGUGAAAUAAUGGAGAAGCGAAUUGAAACGACGAAUUGGUGGAAUGGAAUGGAUCGGAGAAGUUAGCUAAGCGCAGUUCGAGUAGUGUAUAUAGUCGGUUCUUCCGCAGCUGCAGCCACCUUUUGGUUAUAGAGAGAGAAGGUAGUUAGAGAGAGAGAGAGAGAGAGAGAGAGAGAGAGCGUGGCACAGUAUUUCUCGUUAGAAUUCUGUUUAAGAAAUCCGCCGAUGAGCAGAUAUGGUGCGUGCGCAACAAGACCAAAGCAUUUACCAAUCAUCACCUAAACCUUCUACUUUAAUCAUUAAAUUUUAAUUUUUGUAUUUUAAAAAUCUAACGGUUAAAAUAUUCGAAGUAUAGAGUACCAUAGAAAGUGCCACUAUUAUAAAUUUUAGUUUCCAUGAAAGAGAAUAUUUAACAAUUAAAUGUGUUUUAAUAGACCCCAAACAACUACUUGAGCAAACUAUGUUUUUUUUGUGAAAGCGAGCAUGCCACACGACCGAGCGUAGUCGGGUAAGUAGAAUAGAUGUGGUGAUGGCAGUAUCGAAUGCACUGUAGACUUCUACACCUGAGUGACUACGAUUGAGGAAGGAACACCUAUCGGACUCUAGAACCUGAAGACAACGUUGCUUAAUUCACUACGAAGUUCAUAAUCUUCUACAUCAAGUUCGACAGCUUCAACUAUAUUCCUAAGAAUAUAACUGUGUCGAAUCAGUAUCAUGUUGUAUGGGCAAAAAUACUUAAAGAAAAUUAGUGUCUUUAUGGUGAACAUGGUUAGGCCAUCUGAAUGUCGAACUAUGAAGUGCACCUGGAAUUAACCAAUCAUAGAACACCUCACCUAUUUGGGAAGCUAAUGAAGUGACCUCUUUAGGCGAAAAAAUUGAAAACUCUUCGCCCAUGAGAUUUGGAUAGAUAACCAACUAGAUGUAGCGUUAAUCCAAACUGAAGAUGCUCCUAAAUUGCUUGAUUCUAUGGCUCCAUGUGUUGUUAAUCCAAAUUGAAGAUAUCGUCGAUUGCCAACACAAUAUUGUUUAUCCAAACUGAAGGUGUGCUGACGAGAGGGUUAGGAUAAUUAGUAUUUUUCUCAAGGUUGUGAAUGGUUUCACAUAGAGCACGAGUUUUUGCAUAAAGCGUUUUGAGUUGUUUCUUGAGCUGAAAUGGGUCCUCAUGUUGCAGAACCCUUAUAUUAUAAAAAUGGGUUUCGUGAUAACCGAGUCUGCCAAGGUAGAGUUCUGAUAGGACUAUGCCUACACGGCAUUCACCUAGAUAUCCUCUCUUUAUCCCUUUAAUAGCUUCUUUAAUCAAAACCCAAUUUUUAUCUGGUCUCGAAUUUUUUUGACUUAAACUAAGAUUCUAAACUUAGCCCCUUUGUGCACUUAAUUCAUUUUUAUCUGAUCAAACAUAGGUCUUGAUCCUUAGAAUAAUGCAAAUCUUAUCAAAACAUAUCCUAAUUCUUACCAAUCUUAAUUCAACUAGGACUGGACUGAGCCACGAUUGGACCUGAUAACUUAACAAUCCUACUUCCAUUAGGACUUGAUCUAAUCAAUGCUCUUCUGAGCUAGAAGCCCACUAGUCUAAGGAAUCACUAUUGGGCUGAGAAUCUUGACAUUUCAACUCGGGUUAUUGUAACAACCCGUCCCAAAUAAUUUUACGAAUUUCAGAACAGAAGGGCAUUUUGGUAAAUUCAUUGGGAUGGAUUAGAAAUUUUCAAUUGAGUUGCUUUUGGGUCUUAUUGUGUAUGCCUGGUGGGGCCCAUUUGCUUUGGUUUUGUCUUAUCGGCCCACUUUCCUUUCUUCUUCCUCCUUCCUGUGUGUAACUCUCCCUCACUCUCUUUCUACCCAUCACUUUUUCUCUUUCUCUCAAGCACUUCCCGAACCCUCUAUCUCAUCUACAACUCAUCCUCUUCCUCAUCUCAAUCUUAACAACAACAACAACCCUUCAAAGUUUCGUAAAGACCUUGAAACCCCAGGCUUGAAGCCGUGUACCCCAACAGUGACUAAGGUACUGUUCAUUGUCUUCCCCGACGAGUCACGACGGAGGAAACCACCUCGGAGAGUUUUCCCAGUUUCCAACAUAUACCCGUGGCUUUCAGGCCACUUUCCGGCCACCUCUCGACCUCUCACUGGUGCGUUUGUUAGUGGUGCUUCCGUCCACCCUUGUUUGCACGGCUCUUCGCCAACAGUGUAAGGUGAGUGGACCCCUUCCAAAAUGCAUGUUUUACUAUUAGAAAUGCAUACAUGAAAAGUAUGAUUUAAUGGCUACGUUUUAUGAAGCAUUUAUGAGUAAAUUAGAUUCACACUUUAUGAUAUAUUAUGCUUUAUCGACUUUACAUUCUUUGUGGUAGAUAUGAUUGUUGACUAUAUACCUACUUAUGAGCGUGGUUUUACGAUAUGACGUUUAGUUACUGAGCUCCGAUAUGACGUUUUAGUUACUGAGCUU